Molecule: ribosomal RNA, 460 nt
Filed under: uncultured bacterium
Lineage: Bacteria
Description: partial 16S ribosomal RNA
Rfam family: Bacterial small subunit ribosomal RNA
Source: RNAcentral
CCUACGGGGGGCAGCAGUGAGGAAUAUUGGUCAAUGGCCGGAAGGCUGAACCAGCCAUGCCGCGUGAAGGUCAGUGCCCUAUGGGCGUUAAACUUCUUUUGUGCGGGAGCAAUAAUGGUCACGUGUGGCCAGACGAGAGUACCGUACGAAUAAGCAUCGGCUAACUCCGUGCCAGCAGCCGCGGUAAUACGGGGGAUGCAAGCGUUAUCCGGAUUUAUUGGGUUUAAAGGGUGCGUAGGCUGGGAGGUAAGUCAGCGGUGAAAUGCCCCCGCUCAACGGGGUGAAGUGCCAUUGAUACUGCCUGGCUGGAAUGCGGAUGCCGUGGGAGGAAUGUGUGGUGUAGCGGUGAAAUGCAUAGAUAUCACACAGAACACCGAUUGCGAAGGCAUCUCACGAAUCCGCGAUUGACGCUGAUGCACGAAAGCGUGGGUAUCAAACAGGAUUAGAUACCCGGGUAGUC